AGAAACUUAGGUUAAUACUGAACCGAGGGCCUUCAANGCCCGAAACAGAGGACAGCCCCCGCCCUAGAU
RNAcentral lists this transfer RNA (69 nucleotides) under Bavayia septuiclavis. Its description in RNAcentral is "tRNA-Trp". The record is from RNAcentral. Lineage: Eukaryota; Metazoa; Chordata; Lepidosauria; Squamata; Diplodactylidae.